UCUGCGAGUUUGCUCCCAUAUUGUUGCAGUUAAAACGCCCGUAGUCUGAAUUGGCCAGCAAUGGUCGUACGUAUUUUUACGUUCACUGUGAACAAAUCAGGACGCUUAGAGUAUGGCCACAUGAAUGACUCAGCGCAGUAUGAAGUCUUUGUUUUCUUCCGAAAACAAGCUCAAUGAGAGCCAUCGGGGGUAGAUCUAUCUCAUGACGAGUGGUGGAAUACUUUGACUCAUGAGAGAGAAGCUGAGGCGAAGGCGUCUACCUAGAGGGUUUCUGUCGAUCAAGGGCGAGAGUAGGAGUAUCCAACAGGAUUAGAGACCCUGGUAGUUCCUACCUUAAACGAUGCCGACAGGAGUUUGUCAUUUGUUAAUGGCAGAAUCUUUGGAGAAAUCAUAGUUCUUGGGCUCUGGGGGAACUACGACCGCAAGGCUGAAACUUGAAGGAAUUGACGGAAGGGCACACCAGGGGUGGAGCCUGUGGCUUAAUUUGAAUCAACACGGGGAAACUUACCAGGACCAGAUGUUUUUUAUGACUGACAGGCUUCGGGUCUUUCAGGAUAUUGUUUUUGGUGGUGCAUGGCCGUUGGUGGUGCGUGGGUUGACCUGUCUAGCGUUGAUUCAGCUAACGAGCGAGAUUAUCGCCAAUUAUUUACUUUGCCGAAGUCCUUCGGUUAAAGUUCUAAUUGGGACUCCCUGCGAUUUUAGCAGGUGGAAGAGGGUAGCAAUAACAGGUCCGUGAUGCCCUUUAGAUGCUCUGGGCUGCACGCGUGCUACAAUGUUAGGAUCAAUAGGACUGCGAGCCUGAGAGGGUGCGCUACUCUUAUAAUCCCUAACGUAGUUGGGAUUGACGUUUGUAAUCAGCGUCAUGAACCAGGAAUCCCUUGUAAAUGUGUGUCAACAACGCACGUUGAAUACGUCCCUGCCCUUUGUACACACCGCCCGUCGCUCCUACCGAUUGGAUGACUCGGUGAAAUCACCGGGAUGCUUACGAGCAGAAAGUGAUUAAAUCACGUUAUCUAGAGG
This 1020-nucleotide non-coding RNA is filed under the name Trichomonas vaginalis G3. Its description in RNAcentral is "Eukaryotic small subunit ribosomal RNA". It matches the Rfam family "Eukaryotic small subunit ribosomal RNA", at positions 590 to 1779 of the family's 1831-position model. Lineage: Eukaryota; Parabasalia; Trichomonadida; Trichomonadidae. The record is from Rfam by way of RNAcentral.